Struthio camelus australis is the source of this 778-nucleotide long non-coding RNA. RefSeq lists it as uncharacterized. Lineage: Eukaryota; Metazoa; Chordata; Aves; Struthioniformes; Struthionidae. The record is from RefSeq and is a predicted model, not a curated record.
GGCUGCUCGGGACAGAGUCUGCCACUGAUCACACAGCGAAGCUGCCGCCUCAGUUACGGCCGUGCAGCAGUGAGCAGUCUCUUUUGAUGUACAUUCUGAAGAGCUUACACAACAGGACAGGGAUUUUUAGCACACUUCAGUUCUUUCCUGAAACAGCAGUGCUAAUGAGACUUGUCUUCCCAUGGAUUAUGUCUCAUGUUUCAUUGCAGAGCUCACCUGAACCCUUUUCCAUAGACAAGUCACACAUUAAUAGACACAGAAGUCCAUGAAGUCUUUUCCAAAUGGCAUUGCUCCAUAACAGCAAAUAAAAGUCUGGCUCAAGAAUAGCUGUACUUGUAUUUGAGUUCUCUCCCCAAGGUGUAUGCCUUACUUGCUUAGAAGCCUGUCCCUUCCCUGUCACCUUCUAUGCGUCUCGUAUUUUGUUGGCAGUGCUGAACACUCCGAGACUCAUCAAUGCUAUGCAACAAUUCCAAGCGAAGUCUGUCCUGAACUCCUCCGUGGCUGAGAGCUGGCAGGGGAUGCGCCAUACAGAAGGCUCUCUGAGCUGUCCUCCCCUUGACUCAGGAUUUGGUCUAUGACUGCUGAUAAGCCGCAACCGUAAUCAGAGAAGCCUGAUUAAGAUCACCAGUUUGGCAAGAAAUGAAAGACUUUACAUCUGGUAUUUGCAGAUAGAACCUGGCAGAGCUGGCUUCCUCAAGUCCAUACUGAAAGACAGUAGGUACUGUUGUUUAUUAUCCGCUUGUAUAGAGGUGAGUUUCAGGUGUGAGGUGGUAUUGGU